RNAcentral lists this small RNA (117 nucleotides) under Marmota monax (woodchuck). Lineage: Eukaryota; Metazoa; Chordata; Mammalia; Rodentia; Sciuridae. The record is from RNAcentral.
GCUGGGUAUGGUGGUGUGCACCUGUAGUCCUAGCUCUUCAGGAGGCCAAGGCGGGAGGAUGGCUAGAGCACAGGAGUUUGAGGUCAGCCUGGAUAACAAAGUGAGAUCUUUUUUUUA